Molecule: ribosomal RNA, 588 nt
Filed under: Triticum aestivum (bread wheat)
Lineage: Eukaryota; Viridiplantae; Streptophyta; Magnoliopsida; Poales; Poaceae
Description: partial small subunit ribosomal RNA
Source: RNAcentral
AUGAACACUUCAUCAUUUGUGGCCUCUUACAUUAAUGAGCUGCAGCAGCUUGAAAAACCCGAGAAGCAUCACAUACAGGCAGCCGCAACGAGAGGAGGGCCAAGGACAUGGCUAGCUUCACCUGUUCGGUUUGCGAAAAUCAAUGUUGAUGGAGCUGUUGCGCGCCAUAAACGUGGCGGGGCAGUUUCUGCGGUGUGUCGAGACCACACAGGUUUAUACUUGGGCUCUUCGGCGGCAGUCUACCGAGGCAUUACUGAUCCCACAACCCUGGAAACGUUUGCGUGCAGGGAGGCGUUAGUUCUUGCAGAGGAUCUUCAGGUGACAAACAUGAUGGUCGCCUCGGAUUGCAAAGGAGUGGUACUGGAUAUAAACGAAGGGACAGGAGGUCCGCACUCGGCUAUUGUACAUGAAAUAAUGCAAUGGAGAAGCACUUUCGACUCGGUUUCUUUUGUUUUUGAGCGUAGAAAUCACAACUUCGAGGCUCACAAUCUCGCCAAGUUCACUUGUAAUUUAGGGAUAGGUCGGCAUGUUUGGCUGGGAGUCCCCCAUCACCAGCAUCGCGUACCUAUGAACAUUGCUAUUAUCUAA